GGGGAUAACCUUCCGAAAGGAGGGCUAAUACCGCAUGACAUCCUGCCUUUGGAUAGGCGGGUAUCAACUCCCGGGGAUCGCAAGACCUGGCGCUAGAAGAGGGGCCCGCGUCCGAUUAGCUAGUUGGUGAGGUAACGGCUCACCAAGGCUCCGAUCGGUAUCCGGCCUGAGAGGGCGGACGGACACACUGGAACUGAGACACGGUCCAGACUCCUACGGGAGGCAGCAGUGGGGAAUUGUUCACAAUGGGCGCAAGCCUGAUGACGCAACGCCGCGUGGAGGAUGAAGAUUUUCGGAUCGUAAACUCCUUUCGACCGAGAUGAAUUCCUGCCGACCUAAUACGUCGGCAGGGUGACAGUAUCGAGGGAAGCAGCCCCGGCU
RNAcentral lists this ribosomal RNA (381 nucleotides) under uncultured Acidobacteriota bacterium. RNAcentral's name for it is "bacterial SSU rRNA". It matches the Rfam family "Bacterial small subunit ribosomal RNA", at positions 139 to 498 of the family's 1533-position model. The record is from RNAcentral. Lineage: Bacteria; Pseudomonadati; Acidobacteriota.